UUUUUUUUGAAAAAUAACGACGUCUCUGAGGCGCGAAUUCCGACAGUGAGAGGAACGGCCGGAUACAGGAGACGGGAAGAAACAAGCCGAUUAUGUUCGCUUUAAUUAAGUGGUUGGAAGAUGUAAAAUUCUCAAUUCUGCCAACUGAACAUAUACGAGAUUUUAAUGAGGAUGAAUAAUUAGCCGGCAUGGAGGAAACGGACCUUUAUUUGGUGGAGUGGCGACAAGAAGCCACAAGGUGGGUGGCCGGUCUAUGAAGCCUCCAUCAUCAAGCUAGCAGCCCAUGAAAUCGAAUGCAGAUCUUCCUGAUGUGAGAUUUACAUAAAUAUGUCAAAGUCUCAACCUCAUGCUGCCCUCCCCCAUCUUCCUAAACCUGUGGAUACAAAUGCAGAUUUCCUUAAUGUUCAAUGGUGCGUGUUCUUCUAAUGGCUGCCUUCCCACUGGAGGUUUUGAUCCACAGCAAUUUAAAAGGAGGACAGAGCAAAACGGACAUCGGCGCAGAGCGAAGAACUGCCCUUCAUAAGGACACUAUGACAGCCAUAUAUAUGGCAGUAAGGAAGAGGUUUCCCACUGUGUCCAGAAGGGCUUUGAGGAUUGCAGUGAAAGCUGGGGGAACUGAGACUGCUGGAAAAGGAAAAGAAAUUACAUUUUAAGUAUGUUGACUUAUGUUCAUACAUUCACACACACAUAUACACAUACACACACAUAUGUAUAUAUAUAUAUACAUAUACACACACAUAUAUGUAUAUGUGUGUGUGUGUGUUUCUUUUAGAAUGUUUAAGUAUGUAAUGAGAAUAAAAUUAUAAAAUGAAUAUUCCUUGCUUGAUUGAUA
Oreochromis aureus is the source of this 832-nucleotide long non-coding RNA. Lineage: Eukaryota; Metazoa; Chordata; Actinopteri; Cichliformes; Cichlidae. The record is from Ensembl.